AAUCCCCAGCCUCCAAGAAAUGGUUGUAAGACAUCCAUGGCAAUGCUCAGCUCCACUCCCAUAAGCAAAGCCUUAAUUUCUCCAUUUGUCUGCCAGUGCCACAGCAUGUAGGUGAAUAAAUAAAAACAUUUGGGAUGCUUCUCUUUUGGUCCAAACCAAAGUGAUCAUCAGAGCUGGACAACCAGAGGCUCAAAUCAAGCUACUGCCUCAUUAAUUGCAGGAGAAGCUCUUACAGGAUUAGGUGGCCUCACCACUAAUUCCAAGUAAUUUUCCUCCCUCUUGGAAAGAGGACCUCCUAGUGCACCCCUAGUUUCCUCCCUUUCCGUGGACAUACCAAGCAGGGACAACGUUUGUAGGGGAAAUGGAAAACCAAGCAUCAUUGGCUUCUCCACCACGCAGCCAUGGGAGGCAAGCACAGACUGAGCAAAGGCUGCUCUCGCGAGCGCUCCCGUCGAACCCAGCGCCUUCCCUGCGGUGUGAGCGCUCGGCAGAGAGCAAUUCCAGGCCCAACAAGAUGUUACAUGCAAUGAGGACGAGGUGUUUGAUGAAUCACUUUCAGAAAAGGGGAUUUUUUGUUAAUAAUAGCAAGAAUUAACAUCCCACUGCAACACCUACAAGACAAACAAAUGGAGCAAAGUAUCCGUGAGUUCGGCACGCUACCUGCCUCCUGUGAAAUGCUACCUGGGAGGUGAGAACCCCUCUCAUUUAGAGCCUUGCUAAGUUUCUGGCUGUAAUUAAUUAGCAGGUGUCUUUAAGUAACAUCAUCUCCCAAAGUUAAUAUGGCUGAUGUUUUAUUUACGGUCCGUCCCGAAGAGUUGUGGUUAAAGUCAACAAAAGGCAAACAUGGAAAUGUGAAUGUUUUGCUCAUUUACAAUAAAAUAUGUCCCCAUCACUGGUGCA
Cyanistes caeruleus (blue tit) is the source of this 900-nucleotide long non-coding RNA. Lineage: Eukaryota; Metazoa; Chordata; Aves; Passeriformes; Paridae. The record is from Ensembl.